CACCGUAGUGCCCUCAAAGCUCAUCACUAAGCUAAGGAACCUGGGUCUAAACACCUCCCUUUGCAACUGGAUCCUGGACUUCUUGACGAGCCGCCCCCAGGUGGUAAGGGAUAUAGACCCACGUUAGUCCUCAGAUGUGAUUUUCGCAGAGACCAGACCACUUAGACAGGAGAGCAGGACCCAGCUCGGAGCAGACGGCAGACAAUGAGACCGAGAGAAAAGAGACACCCCCGUCAGAAUGUAACUGCAGCCAAUUAGGCCGCUAGCCUCUGACAUAUUGUGUACCGGCCCCAUGAAUAUUUCAUCAGAG
RNAcentral lists this long non-coding RNA (310 nucleotides) under Salmo salar (Atlantic salmon). RNAcentral's name for it is "lncRNA (ENSSSAG00000097720.1, ENSSSAG00020081937.1, ENSSSAG00075041555.1)". Lineage: Eukaryota; Metazoa; Chordata; Actinopteri; Salmoniformes; Salmonidae. The record is from RNAcentral.